RNAcentral lists this ribosomal RNA (429 nucleotides) under bacterium. Its description in RNAcentral is "partial 16S ribosomal RNA". It matches the Rfam family "Bacterial small subunit ribosomal RNA", at positions 355 to 776 of the family's 1533-position model. The record is from RNAcentral.
UAGGGAAUCUUCCACAAUGGACGCAAGUCUGAUGGAGCAACGCCGCGUGAGUGAAGAAGGUUUUCGGAUCGUAAAGCUCUGUUGUUGGUGAAGAAGGAUAGAGGCAGUAACUGGUCUUUAUUUGACGGUAAUCAACCAGAAAGUCACGGCUAACUACGUGCCAGCAGCCGCGGUAAUACGUAGGUGGCAAGCGUUGUCCGGAUUUAUUGGGCGUAAAGCGAGCGCAGGCGGAAUGAUAAGUCUGAUGUGAAGGCCCACGGCUCAACCGUGGAACUGCAUCGGAAACUGUCAUUCUUGAGUGCAGAAGAGGAGAGUGGAAUUCCAUGUGUAGCGGUGGAAUGCGUAGAUAUAUGGAAGAACACCAGUGGCGAAGGCGGCUCUCUGGUCUGCAACUGACGCUGAGGCUCGAAAGCAUGGGUAGCGAACAGG